UCCCUAGUGACUCAGACAGUAAAGAAUCUGCCUGCAAUGCAGAAGACCCUGGUUUGAUCCCUGGGUUGGGAA
Molecule: transfer RNA, 72 nt
Filed under: Bos taurus (domestic cattle)
Lineage: Eukaryota; Metazoa; Chordata; Mammalia; Artiodactyla; Bovidae
Also listed under: 5 other names
Rfam family: tRNA
About the family: Transfer RNA (tRNA) molecules are approximately 80 nucleotides in length. Their secondary structure includes four short double-helical elements and three loops (D, anti-codon, and T loops). Further hydrogen bonds mediate the characteristic L-shaped molecular structure. tRNAs have two regions of fundamental functional importance: the anti-codon, which is responsible for specific mRNA codon recognition, and the 3' end, to which the tRNAs corresponding amino acid is attached (by aminoacyl-tRNA synthetases). tRNAs cope with the degeneracy of the genetic code in two manners: having more than one tRNA (with a specific anti-codon) for a particular amino acid; and 'wobble' base-pairing, i.e. permitting non-standard base-pairing at the 3rd anti-codon position.
Source: Rfam by way of RNAcentral